CAGCAGCCGCGGUAAUACGAAGGGUGCAAGCGUUACUCGGAAUUACUGGGCGUAAAGCGUGCGUAGGUGGUUUGUUAAGUCUGUCGUGAAAUCCCCGGGCUCAACCUGGGAAUGGCAAUGGAUACUGGCAAGCUAGAGUGAGGUAGAGGAGAGUGGAAUUCCCGGUGUAGCAGUGAAAUGCGUAGAGAUCGGGAGGAACACCAAUGGCGAAAGCAGGUAACUGGACUAUUACUGACGCUAAGCUGCGAAAGCUAGGGGAGCAAACAGGAUUAGAUACCCUGGUAGUCCUAGCCGUAAACGAUGCACAUUAGACGUGAGGGGUAUCGACCCCCUUCGUGUCGACGCUAACGCAUUAAAUGUGCCGCCUGGGGAGUACGGCCGCAAGGUUGAAACUCAAAGGAAUUGACGG
RNAcentral lists this ribosomal RNA (409 nucleotides) under uncultured bacterium. Its description in RNAcentral is "bacterial SSU rRNA". It matches the Rfam family "Bacterial small subunit ribosomal RNA", at positions 509 to 916 of the family's 1533-position model. The record is from RNAcentral.